UACGUAGGGUGCGAGCGUUGUCCGGAUUUAUUGGGCGUAAAGGGCUCGUAGGCGGCGUGUCGCGUCGGGAGUGAAAGCCCGUUGCUUAACGGCGGGUUGGCUUUCGGUACGGGCAUGCUGGAGUGCGGCAGGGGAGACUGGAAUUCCUGGUGUAGCGGUGGAAUGCGCAGAUAUCAGGAGGAACACCGGUGGCGAAGGCGGCUUCCUGGACCGACACUGACGCUGAGGCGCGAAAGCUAGGGGAGCAAACGGG
RNAcentral lists this ribosomal RNA (253 nucleotides) under uncultured bacterium. RNAcentral describes it as "partial 16S ribosomal RNA". It matches the Rfam family "Bacterial small subunit ribosomal RNA", at positions 524 to 776 of the family's 1533-position model. The record is from RNAcentral.